This 254-nucleotide ribosomal RNA is filed under the name uncultured bacterium. RNAcentral describes it as "partial 16S ribosomal RNA". It matches the Rfam family "Bacterial small subunit ribosomal RNA", at positions 524 to 776 of the family's 1533-position model. The record is from RNAcentral.
GACGAACCGUGCGAACGUUAUUCGGAAUCACUGGGCUUAAAGCGCGUGUAGGCGGGCCGGCACGUCGGUCGUUGAAAUCCCCCGGCUCAACCGGGGAAGCGGCGCCGAUACGCCCGGCCUCGAGGGACGUAGGGGGGGCUGGAACUUCCGGUGGAGCGGUGAAAUGCGUUGAGAUCGGAAGGAACGCCCGUGGCGAAAGCGAGCCCCUGGACGUCUACUGACGCUGAGACGCGAAAGCCAGGGGAGCGAACGGG